This 503-nucleotide ribosomal RNA is filed under the name uncultured bacterium. RNAcentral's name for it is "bacterial SSU rRNA". It matches the Rfam family "Bacterial small subunit ribosomal RNA", at positions 30 to 527 of the family's 1533-position model. The record is from RNAcentral.
AUUGAACGCUGGCGGCAUGCCUUACACAUGCAAGUCGAACGGUAACAGGUCUUCGGAUGCUGACGAGUGGCGAACGGGUGAGUAAUACAUCGGAACGUGCCCAAUCGUGGGGGAUAACGUAGCGAAAGUUACGCUAAUACCGCAUACGAUCUACGGAUGAAAGCGGGGGAUCGCAAGACCUCGCGCGAAUGGAGCGGCCGAUGUCAGAUUAGGUAGUUGGUGGGGUAAAGGCUCACCAAGCCGACGAUCUGUAGCUGGUCUGAGAGGACGACCAGCCACACUGGGACUGAGACACGGCCCAGACUCCUACGGGAGGCAGCAGUGGGGAAUUUUGGACAAUGGGCGCAAGCCUGAUCCAGCCAUUCCGCGUGCAGGAUGAAGGCCUUCGGGUUGUAAACUGCUUUUGUACGGAACGAAAAGGCUCUGGUUAAUACCUGGAGUUUAUGACGGUACCGUAAGAAUAAGCACCGGCUAACUACGUAGCCAGCAGCCGCGGUAAAACG